Molecule: unclassified non-coding RNA, 499 nt
Filed under: uncultured Glomus
Lineage: Eukaryota; Fungi; Glomeromycota; Glomeromycetes; Glomerales; Glomeraceae
Description: SSU rRNA
Rfam family: Eukaryotic small subunit ribosomal RNA
Source: RNAcentral
CCAAUAGCGUAUAUUAAAGUUGCUGCAGUUAAAAAGCUCGUAGUUGAAUUUCGGGACUAAUAUGUCGGUCGUGCCUCGGUACGUACUGGUAUUUUUGGUUUCUCCCUUCUGACGAACCUUGAUGUCAUUAAUUUGGUGUCAUGGGGAAUCAGGACUGUUACUUUGAAAAAAUUAGAGUGUUUAAAGCAGGCUCACGCUUGAAUACAUUAGCAUGGAAUAAUGAAAUAGGACGUUUGACCCUAUUUUGUUGGUUUCUAGGAUCGACGUAAUGAUUAAUAGGGAUAGUUGGGGGCAUUAGUAUUCAAUUGUCAGAGGUGAAAUUCUUGGAUUUAUUGAAGGCUAACUACUGCGAAAGCAUUUGCCAAGGAUAUUUUCAUUAAUCAAGAACGAAAGUUAGGGGAUCGAAGACGAUCAGAUACCGUCGUAGUCUUAACCAUAAACUAUGCCGACUAGGGAUCGGAUGAUGUUAAUUUUUUAAUGACUCAUUCGGCGCCUUACG